UACGAAGGGGGCUAGCGUUGUUCGGAAUUACUGGGCGUAAAGCGUGCGCAGGCGGCUUCUCAAGUCAGGGGUGAAAGCCCAGAGCUCAACUCUGGAACUGCCUUUGAGACUGAGAGGCUUGAGUACGGGAGAGGUGAGUGGAAUUCCCAGUGUAGAGGUGAAAUUCGUAGAUAUUGGGAAGAACACCGGUGGCGAAGGCGGCUCACUGGCCCGUAACUGACGCUGAGGCACGAAAGCGUGGGGAGCAAACAGG
RNAcentral lists this ribosomal RNA (253 nucleotides) under uncultured bacterium. RNAcentral describes it as "partial 16S ribosomal RNA". It matches the Rfam family "Bacterial small subunit ribosomal RNA", at positions 524 to 776 of the family's 1533-position model. The record is from RNAcentral.